RNAcentral lists this ribosomal RNA (495 nucleotides) under uncultured bacterium. Its description in RNAcentral is "partial 16S ribosomal RNA". It matches the Rfam family "Bacterial small subunit ribosomal RNA", at positions 28 to 507 of the family's 1533-position model. The record is from RNAcentral.
GACGAACGCUGGCGGCGUGCCUAAUACAUGCAAGUAGAACGCUGAAGGAGGAGCUUGCUUCUCUGGAUGAGUUGCGAACGGGUGAGUAACGCGUAGGUAACCUGCCUGGUAGCGGGGGAUAACUAUUGGAAACGAUAGCUAAUACCGCAUAAUAGCAGUUGUUGCAUGACAACUGUUUGAAAGGUGCAAUUGCACCACUACCAGAGGGACCUGCGUUGUAUUAGCUAGUUGGUGGGGUAACGGCUCACCAAGGCGACGAUACAUAGCCGACCUGAGAGGGUGAUCGGCCACACUGGGACUGAGACACGGCCCAGACUCCUACGGGAGGCAGCAGUAGGGAAUCUUCGGCAAUGGACGGAAGUCUGACCGAGCAACGCCGCGUGAGUGAAGAAGGUUUUCGGAUCGUAAAGCUCUGUUGUAAGAGAAGAACGAGUGUGAGAGUGGAAAGUUCACACUGUGACGGUAUCUUACCAGAAAGGGACGGCUAACUACGUG